This is a non-coding RNA of Pelobates cultripes (western spadefoot toad), 360 nucleotides long. The record is from the annotation of a GenBank genome assembly. Lineage: Eukaryota; Metazoa; Chordata; Amphibia; Anura; Pelobatidae.
ACCGAGCAGGAGCAGUUUGACCUCCCUGGCCGCCUUCUCGCCGUCCUCCCGCAGGUUCUUGUCGAUGAUCUUGGAUCUCUCGGCCGCCGCUUUGUCUUCGGCGCUCACCGUGCAGCCCAUGGCGGCGAUAUGUGCGAACCGAGACGAGAGUGCGCUAGACCGAGAGCCCCGGGCUCCGCCGCGAUUCCCGGGCAACUCCACCACAGCGGUACGGCCGACACAGCCGGGCUCCGACAGCCGAGUACACAGCACUGAGGCACACAGACAGUCCGGCCGCAGACAGCAGAGUACACUGCACACACAGACACACAGCCGAACGACGCCCUGUGAGCACUGAGACCAGACCACGCCCACCUCGCU